UAAUAUAUAAAUCUACAAGCCAAUGAGACUUAGAACAUAACUUUUUACAAUGCAUGGGACAGGCUUAUUCAUUCUCACCAACUCAAAAUAAAGGUUAAUAUUGAAAGAAAGAAAAAAAUUGGUUUUGAUUCUUAAAACUACCUUUAAUUUGACUCUUUUUCAUAUAUAACACUCCAGUUGGUUAAUCAUAUUCAAAGGAAGGCAGUUACCUCACAAGUAGCUCUUAUGAUGUCAAACAUUCUAUAGCCUGAAAUUUCAACCUCAACCUUGACCUUCACUUCCCUCACAACCACUUGAAUUUUUACCCUCGCAGCCACUUGAGCUAAAAUGAAAACUCCACUUUGCUUUCAUCAGUUUUGGGGAUUGUUUUUAUACUGCUGUGGUGAAGCAGGAGUCCAGAGCUGACACUGUGAGGAAGCACGGACCAGAGCCCGGCCUGUGGUCCUGCAGUCACUCUGGAAAUGACCUAGGACACCACGAGGAGGCGAAUGGGGGAAUCUGUCCCAGCUCCAGUGUCCUGCUCCAGAGUGGCUCGUGGGCCUCAUCGCGUCACUCCAUGUUAGGGCUGGCGCGUUCCCAUGGAGACAGGUGUACCUUGAGGAAAGGGUGACUGCAUUCCAUAUCCUGCUCUACAUUCUCUCAGAAACGCAAGUGGAUUAGUUUGUCCCUAAUGCAGACAGAAUAAAAAUCGUGUAGUAC
Molecule: long non-coding RNA, 699 nt
Filed under: Heterocephalus glaber (naked mole-rat)
Lineage: Eukaryota; Metazoa; Chordata; Mammalia; Rodentia; Bathyergidae
Description: lncRNA (ENSHGLG00000032104.1)
Source: RNAcentral